GUUUGAUCAUGGCUCAGAGCGAACGCUGGCGGCAGGCUUAACACAUGCAAGUCGAGCGGGCGUAGCAAUACGUCAGCGGCAGACGGGUGAGUAACGCGUGGGAACAUACCUUUUGGUUCGGAACAACACAGGGAAACUUGUGCUAAUACCGGAUAAGCCCUUACGGGGAAAGAUUUAUCGCCGAAAGAUUGGCCCGCGUCUGAUUAGCUAGUUGGUGAGGUAACGGCUCACCAAGGCGACGAUCAGUAGCUGGUCUGAGAGGAUGAUCAGCCACAUUGGGACUGAGACACGGCCCAAACUCCUACGGGAGGCAGCAGUGGGGAAUAUCGGACAAUGGGCGAAAGCCUGAUCCAGCCAUGCCGCGUGAGUGAUGAAGGCCCUAGGGUUGUAAAGCUCUUUUGUGCGGGAAGAUAAUGACGGUACCGCAAGAAUAAGCCCCGGCUAACUUCGUGCCAGCAGCCGCGGUAAUACGAAGGGGGCUAGCGUUGCUCGGAAUCACUGGGCGUAAAGGGUGCGUAGGCGGGUUUUUAAGUCAGAGGUGAAAUCCUGGAGCUCAACUCCAGAACUGCCUUUGAUACUGAGAAUCUUGAGUACGGGAGAGGUGAGUGGAACUGCGAGUGUAGAGGUGAAAUUCGUAGAUAUUCGCAAGAACACCAGUGGCGAAGGCGGCUCACUGGCCCGUAACUGACGCUGAGGCACGAAAGCGUGGGGAGCAAACAGGAUUAGAUACCCUGGUAGUCCACGCCGUAAACGAUGAAUGCCAGCCGUUAGUGGGUUUACUCACUAGUGGCGCAGCUAACGCUUUAAGCAUUCCGCCUGGGGAGUACGGUCGCAAGAUUAAAACUUAAAGGAAUUGACGGAGG
RNAcentral lists this ribosomal RNA (863 nucleotides) under uncultured bacterium. Its description in RNAcentral is "bacterial SSU rRNA". It matches the Rfam family "Bacterial small subunit ribosomal RNA", at positions 11 to 919 of the family's 1533-position model. The record is from RNAcentral.